RNAcentral lists this ribosomal RNA (301 nucleotides) under uncultured bacterium. RNAcentral describes it as "partial 16S ribosomal RNA". It matches the Rfam family "Bacterial small subunit ribosomal RNA", at positions 509 to 809 of the family's 1533-position model. The record is from RNAcentral.
CAGCAGCCGCGGGAAAACAGAGGGUGCGAGCGUUAAUCGGAUUUACUGGGCGUAAAGCGUGCGUAGGCGGCUUCUUAAGUCGGAUGUGAAAUCCCUGAGCUUAACUUAGGAAUUGCAUUCGAUACUGGGAAGCUAGAGUAUGGGAGAGGAUGGUAGAAUUCCAGGUGUAGCGGUGAAAUGCGUAGAGAUCUGGAGGAAUACCGAUGGCGAAGGCAGCCAUCUGGCCUAAUACUGACGCUGAGGUACGAAAGCAUGGGGAGCAAACAGGAUUAGAUACCCCCGUAGUCCCUGUCUCUUAUAA